UUUUGGUUUUUCAGAUCAAAAAGCUUUUUCCAAUAGAAAACAGAAUAAAAACAAUGGCAGCAGCAACAUCAGCUUCUUUGUUUUCAAUUGGAUCUUCUUACUCGUCUAAAGCCAGCUCAUUUACACCACAGUCUAGGGCACAAGCUGUGAACUUUAACUCAAUUCCUAGUUUCAUCGGUCUUAGAUCAACCUCACUCAUUUAGAAAGGCGGCGGAAAAAAAAAGUCUAAG
Camelina sativa (false flax) is the source of this 230-nucleotide non-coding RNA. The record is from RefSeq and is a predicted model, not a curated record. NCBI's taxonomy places the organism in Eukaryota, Viridiplantae, Streptophyta, Magnoliopsida, Brassicales, Brassicaceae.